ACACACAUCCACUGAGACGGAGCACAGGGGCACGAUGGCACCUCGUCAACUUGGCCAGGAAAAAAGGUGGUGGUUUGGGGAGGAUACGAAAGAACCAGGCAUUUUCCUUUUUGUUAGAAACUCCCAACGAAAGGAAAAAGAUGGGAGAUGUGAUCGGGGAUCACGCUUGGUCAGGAAAGGCAGAGGAACAUCAAAAGGGAUGUCAUGGCCUGUAUCAAGGAUCAAAUCGAUAUCCCCACAACAGCAACCGGAGCCAUCAACUUCAUCCAGACUGUCCCAAGACAAUAGUCUAUUGAUUGAAUUUUCGGAUUCAAAGGAUGUCACUCUUAAAACAUCUCUUGAUCAGUUUGAUUAGAACCAGAGCGAGAUAAGCAAUGAAAUGCGAGACUUUGUAGACUCAUCCAAUGACUUCUGUGCUGCAUUCAAACAGUUGAAGGCACACCAAACAAAACCAGUGGGACCGGAAGAACAAGAGUAAAGGAGAAGUUUGUGGGCCAUCUGUGCAUCAAUGUUGGCGCGUUGAUCAAUGGGAUAGAUGCAUCCAGGAACAUCCGUCCCAUUGAUCAACAGUGGAAAGCAACACUAAAAAGGAGAAUUCUUAAUGGAGAAUUUAAAGAUGACAAUCAACCAUUACUUCUGUGUGUAAAGGAUGUUACUAAGGAGGAUUUUAAUGAGAACAAGCCUAUCGGCGUCUGAUUCACAAUGUGGUUUGUGAGGAGUGUCAUAGUCGUCAACAGUGUAGCUUACGUAUUUCGAAGACCAGUGGAAUUGGCGGCGUCAAAUUAUUAGUGAAAUUUAUAAUUUACAAAUUACAAAUUACAAAUCGUUUAUUGAAACCGUGUAAAAAGUUACAUUUUACAUAAGAUGAAAGUACAAUGACCAUAAGCAUGAUGAACUAAAUAACUGGUGUGACAUUGUUGUGGAUUUGGUGGUGUGCAGCUGGAGGAGUGGACAAUGUCACAACCAGGGUUCCUACAUUAUGUACAGUGGAACCUCCGUUAGUAGACACCUCUCUAUUAAAGACAACCUUUCCAAUAAGGACACUGGUUUUGGUCCCAAAUUGGUUGUUUCCAUUCAAUUUUGACUUCUCUAAUCAGUCUUUGGGUGUUCCGAAUGCUUGACACAUUUCGAACAUGUUUUGGUUGGAAACAACCCUACAGUCUUACACUUAUGGCUGAAUGAAUGACAGUGCAUUUUCGUGUAAGCUCGGUGACGAAAUGCUGCGACACUAUUCGUCACCAACAUGCUAGGUGUCCACAUCGAGGAGUAGAUGAUGUCACUACAUGUACCAGGGUUUGUACUUUCAUAUACAGUGGGCCUACUUUUUGUGGACACCUUUCUAUUGAGGACAACCUCUUUAAUAAGGACAGUAGUUUUUGGUUCCAAAUUGGUUGUUUCCAUUCAACUCGACUUCUCAGUUUAGGACACCUCUCUGUUAAAACAGCACUUUUCAGUCCCUGGCGCAUUUCUGGAAAUUUCAUGCUAUAGAGCAAUUGGUUCAGCUAAGUGACAAGAACAGUACUAUAAGACGGUUUUAAAAAGUUGAAAAUUAUUUAUUUAAAUGACAUAUGAAUGGUUCAGCAGUAAUUGGCAGUGUGCAUUAUGUAAUGAAAUAUGAUUUACAUAAUAUAACAUUUUUGUGACAAAUAGUACAGAUGAUGGAUAAAUCGAUA
Molecule: long non-coding RNA, 1673 nt
Organism: Lineus longissimus
Lineage: Eukaryota; Metazoa; Nemertea; Pilidiophora; Heteronemertea; Lineidae
Exons: 4
Source: RefSeq, a predicted model, not a curated record